This 396-nucleotide long non-coding RNA is filed under the name Ananas comosus (pineapple). RNAcentral describes it as "long non-coding RNA (ACOM_LNC030982)". Lineage: Eukaryota; Viridiplantae; Streptophyta; Magnoliopsida; Poales; Bromeliaceae. The record is from RNAcentral.
GUGCUCGUUUCAUCAAAAGUGAAGAGUAGUGAAGAGAUUUUCGGCUGUGAGUAUCUAUUUUCAUUAUUUGGUUUACCAUAACUUCAUCUUCGAUCGAAACUCAAACCUUCCAAAGUGUGCCAAAGUCAAUUACAAUAAUAAUAAUAAUGAUGAUGACUAACUAUUAACUCAUGUCUCACACCUCUAUCUUUUAUGUUAUUUUCGUUUACAGUCAAACAAAUAGCAGAUCUAGUAAAUCUUCAGUUUUUCAUAGAUAUACAAACAAAUAGCGGAAGAUAAGUAAUUUUUAUGCGAAUUCUCGUUAAUCCGAAAGUUUACUUCAAUCUGAACUUCACAUUCAGUAAAACAAACAUGCCUCUUUACUAGAAAAUGCAUUUUUUGAUUCCAAACACUCCC